AAAGUGAAGAAAUUCAACCAAGCGCGAGUAAACAACAGGAGUAACUAUGACUAUCUUAAGGUAGCUAGAUGCCUCGUCAUAUAAUUAGUGACAUGCAUGAAUGGAUCAUUAACGAGAUUCCCCACUAUCCCUAGCUACUAUAUUCUAGAGAAACCACAUCCAAGGGAAUGGGCUUGGAAAAAUUAGCGGGGAAAGAAGACCCUCAUAUUGAGCUUGACUCUAGUCCUAACUCAUUCAUAGUUUGGGAAAAUUAGGGCAUAGU
Molecule: non-coding RNA, 262 nt
Organism: Picea glauca (white spruce)
Lineage: Eukaryota; Viridiplantae; Streptophyta; Pinopsida; Pinales; Pinaceae
Source: Rfam